Long non-coding RNA from Fundulus heteroclitus (mummichog), 3064 nucleotides. RefSeq lists it as uncharacterized. The transcript is spliced from 2 exons. The record is from RefSeq and is a predicted model, not a curated record. NCBI's taxonomy places the organism in Eukaryota, Metazoa, Chordata, Actinopteri, Cyprinodontiformes, Fundulidae.
GCGUCCAAACACGCCAGACUCAGGGAAUGCGCCGAGCAACAACAGGCGAGUGCGCCAGAGGGCUCAAGCAGCGCCUAAACACAGAGGAAGACUAGACAGGAGGACUAGGCCAGGGAAACAAUGGACUACUCUAUUAAGACAGGGACUACUAGACUAAGACGGUGGCUACAGGACUAGGACGGGGGCUUACGAAACUAAGACGGAGGCUACAAGACUAGGACAGGGGCUACAAGACUAAGACAGGGCUCGAGGGGAUCUACAGGGGCUAACGGAAAAACCAAAACAAACCCGAAAAUUAGAAGAGGGACCGAAACCCAGAACUAAUACUAAUAAACCAAGUAAAACAAGGAGACGAGGGCUGGUACAACUAAACUGAAGAAAAACUAAAUAACUACAGCUAAAAAAUAGAAACUCGAGAAAGAUAGGAAAUCUAGGGUGAAAACUAAAACUCAGGACCAGAAUACGAAAGCCUAAAGGGAAACCUAGAACACUUGACCCGAACAGAAAAUAAACCCAAAGCAAAACAGAAACUCAAAUACUUCUAAAGAGAACAAAAACCUGCUAAAUAAUUCCAAAACACAAAAUUCCUAGAAAAACCAAACCUAUAUAAAUUAUCAAAAAACUGAAAAUCUAAUCAACUUAAGAACUCUAGAGGAACACUAGAAAACUGUAAAACCAAAGAAUACUAAGUAAUUCAAAAACUCGGGACCAAAAUAACUCAAAAACAACAACUAGAGAACUGGAAGUCUAACUAAAACGAGAAUCUGAAAAAAUAAAACUGAACUAGGUAACUAAGAUCUAAGGUGGGAACUGAGACACGCAGGACGUUGAGAGCGGGGACCUUGAGACACGGACAGGAAGUUGAGCACGCAGACAGGAACUGAGGCGGGGCGGAUCCUACCAGCUUCCGCACCUAGGCUCUGUGCGUGCUCGGGUUCAUCCUUUGGGCCGGCCCGUAACUGUCAUGAUUUGUCUUUGGAUGAACCCGGACACAGCACGCACACACAGAGCUAGUUCUUGAAGUGAGUUUUAUUGCACAGAAUGAUGAGUGAAUGACGAGUGGAACCAGAGUCUUUAUGGACGGAGGUGAAGGGUGCGGAAGCUGGCUGGCAGGAGGAGCACGGGAGACUGACCCGGAGGAGACUCGGGAGCGGAGGACUUGAAGGCUUGAGCUGAGUAGCCUGACUGGAGAGCGUAGAACUGAGGAGCUGAAGACCGUGGAGCAGAGUUGCAGAGCUGAAGACCGUGGAGCGGAGUUGCUGAACUGAAGAUCGUGGAGCGGAGUUGCUGAACUGAAGAUCGUGGAGCGGAGUUGCUGAGCUGAAGAUCGUGAAGCAGAGUCGCUGAGCUGAAGACCGUGGAGCAGAGUCGCUGAGCUGAAGACCGUGGAGCAGAGUUGCAGAGCAGAAGACCGUGGAGCUGAGCCGUAGAGCUGAAGACUGUGGAACUGAGCUGAGCCGAAGACCGUGGAGCUGAGUGGAUUCUUGGAGGUGCAGAAAGGCGCGGGCGCAGGAACUCUGGCAACCAGACGUGGGAAAAUCUCUGGUUGCUGAAGAUGUUUCUGUGCAGCCGAGAGGAUUCUUGGAGGUGCAGACAGGCGCGGGCGCUGGAACUCUGGCAACCAGACGUGGGAAAGUCUCUGGUUGCCGAAGACGUCACCGUGCAGCCGAGAGGAUUCUUGGAGGUGAGGGCGCAGGAACUCUGGCAACCAGACGUGGGAGGAUCUCUGGACAGAGGCGCAACAGAGGAUGAAACAGACAGAGACUGAACGGGAGUGAACACUACGGGCCGGCAACGAGAGCAGAGAGAGGUAUGUUUAAAUAGGGGUGGGACCAGGUGGAGGCAGUUGCGGGUUAAUUGCAGCCUGACAGGUGGAACCCAUCAGGCUGCGCAUUAACGAGAGAGAGGGAGAGAGGCUCAGCAUGCAGCCCUCACGCUGCAUCCUGACAACCUUCACACUUCUACCAUUACCAGAGGGUAGGCAGACAGUGGGGGGAAGGUGGGUAUAUGCUCUCAAGGAGGAUGAUAAAGGGAAUGAGACAUAUAAAGCAAGGUAUGUAGUGAAGGGAUACAGUCAGGUAGAAGGACUUGACUAUUCAGAGACAUUCUCUCCGACUGCAAACUUGACAUCACUACGUAUGUUGAUGCAAUUAGCUGCACAACAUGACCUUACACUUAACCAGAUGGACGUUAAAGCCGCAUACUUACAUGCACCCAUUGACCAUGAAAUAUACAUGGAUCAACCCGAAGGUUUCCAGGUUAAAUCACAGAAUGGCGUGUGACUUGUGUGUAAGUUGAACAAAUCUAUCUAUGGGCUCAAACAAUCUGGGAGGAACUGGAAUAUGAUGCUCCAUGAUUUCCUGAUAUUGAAUGAGUUUGUGCAGAGCCAAGCUGAUCAUUGUAUCUACACAAACUUUUCUGACAAAGGAAAAGUGAUUUUAUUAGUGUGGGUUGAUGAUAUAGUUGUGGCUGCAAGCAAUGAGACGUGUUUAAGAGAGGUCAAAGAGAAACUGAAAAGAAAGUUUAAAAUGAAAGAUCUUGGCCAUCUCACACAUUUUAUCGGGAUCAAUUUCACACAAAAAGAAGGCUCUAUCAAAAUGAGCCAGUCCAAAUAUAUUGAGAAGAUACUGGAAAGGUUUGGUAUGGCUGAGUGUAAACCCAGAGCCACUCCUUUUUUUUUUAAACAUUUCUUUAUUGUGGUUUUGUUCUUUUAUACAAACAACAACCCCAAACCCCAGGCACAAACUGGAAUAAUAUAGAAAGUCCCCCUGAAAGCAUGAGCUCCAUAAAAGUGUCCACCUAAUAACAGUCCACCUUUAUACCCAAUAAAGGUACAAAGUCUCAUGAAGAUAGAAAGUCCUUGUUGUGUAGUCCAAAAACAAUGCAAAUGUAUGCUCGAGUACUUUACGUAAUAUGUCUAGCUGAUUCAUGUCUCAGCCUCAAUGCAAUAUACACAAACAAAAAACAAUCCGUGAAGUACUGAUAAGGUUGUGGAUUCUUGAAAGAGAACAUGACAAUACAUACAUACAUAAAAAGAAAUACAAUGAAAAAAACAAAAAACAAA